RNAcentral lists this ribosomal RNA (740 nucleotides) under uncultured bacterium. RNAcentral describes it as "bacterial SSU rRNA". It matches the Rfam family "Bacterial small subunit ribosomal RNA", at positions 8 to 796 of the family's 1533-position model. The record is from RNAcentral.
AGAGUUUGAUCCUGGCUCAGAACGAACGCUGGCGGCAGGCUUAACACAUGCAAGUCGAGCGCCCAGCAAUGGGAGCGGCGGACGGGUGAAUAACGCGUGGGAAUAUGCCCUUUGGUACGGAACAACUCAGGGAAACUUGAGCUAAUACCGUAUGUGCCAGUAAUGGGAAAGAUUUAUCGCCAAAGGAUUAGCCCGCGUCCGAUUAGCUUGUUGGUGAGGUAAUGGCUCACCAAGGCACCGAUCGGUAGCUGGUCUGAGAGGACGACCAGCCACACUGGGACUGAGACACGGCCCAGACUCCUACGGGAGGCAGCAGUGGGGAAUCUUGGACAAUGGAGGAAACUCUGAUCCAGCCAUGCCGCGUGAGUGAUGAAGGCCUUAGGGUUGUAAAACUCUUUCGGCGGGGACGAUAAUGACGGUACCCGCAGAAGAAGCUCCGGCUAACUUCGUGCCAGCAGCCGCGGUAAUACGAAGGGGGCUAGCGUUGUUCGGAAUUACUGGGCGUAAAGCGCGCGCAGGCGGCCUUCCAAGUCAGGGGUGAAAGCCCAGAGCUCAACUCUGGAAUUGCCUUUGAAACUGUUAGGCUUGAGUACGGGAGAGGUGAGUGGAAUUCCCAGUGUAGAGGUGAAAUUCGUAGAUAUUGGGAAGAACACCGGUGGCGAAGGCGGCUCACUGGCCCGUAACUGACGCUCAGGCGCGACAGCGUGGGGAUCAAACAGGAUUAGAUACCCCCGUAGUCC